RNAcentral lists this ribosomal RNA (350 nucleotides) under uncultured eukaryote. RNAcentral's name for it is "SSU rRNA". It matches the Rfam family "Eukaryotic small subunit ribosomal RNA", at positions 567 to 928 of the family's 1831-position model. The record is from RNAcentral.
CCAGCAGCCGCGGUAAUUCCAGCUCCAAUAGCGUAUAUUAAAGUUGUUGCAGUUAAAACGCUCGUAGUCUGAUGUAAUGGGGACGUCACAGGGGGUCCAUCGUCGUGCGGCGUCAAAACCGUGCGGCGGUGGGUCCCUGGGGCCCAGAUCGUUUACCGUGAAAAAAUUAGAGUGUUCAAAGCAGGCAGAUCCAAUUUUCUGCCACCGAAUACAUUAGCAUGGGAUAAUGGAAUAGGACCCUGUCCUCCUAUUUUCAGUUGGUUUUGGCAGCGCGAGGACUAGGGUAAUGAUUAAUAGGGAUAGUUGGGGGCAUUAAUAUUUAAUUGUCAGAGGUGAAAUUCUUGGAUUUA